AAAUUGCUCCAGAUCUCUCUGCCCAGGACAAACAAGAUAUCGCUGAAGUUGUUAUGGAGCUGGGCGUGGAUGGUUUGAUGGUGUCUAACACCACUGUGUCCAGGCCAGAGAUGCUACAGGACCCACAGAGAUCGGAAGUUGGCGGCCUGAGCGGCCAAGCUCUCAAAGACCUCGCCACACGGACUGUCAGAGAGAUGUACUGCCUGACCGGAGGUAAAAUACCGAUUAUUGGAAUUGGUG
This is a long non-coding RNA of Thalassophryne amazonica, 240 nucleotides long. RefSeq lists it as uncharacterized. The transcript is spliced from 3 exons. The record is from RefSeq and is a predicted model, not a curated record. Lineage: Eukaryota; Metazoa; Chordata; Actinopteri; Batrachoidiformes; Batrachoididae.